Molecule: ribosomal RNA, 253 nt
Filed under: uncultured bacterium
Lineage: Bacteria
Description: partial 16S ribosomal RNA
Rfam family: Bacterial small subunit ribosomal RNA
Source: RNAcentral
UACGUAGGGUGCAAGCGUUGUCCGGAAUUAUUGGGCGUAAAGCGCGCGUAGGCGGAUCGCUAAGUCAGGGGUGAAAUCCCAGGGCUCAACCCUGGAACUGCCUUUGAUACUGACGAUCUGGAGAUCGGGAGAGGUUGGUGGAAUUCCGAGUGUAGAGGUGAAAUUCGUAGAUAUUCGGAGGAACACCAGAAGCGAAGGCGGCCAACUGGCCCGAUACUGACGCUGAGGCGCGAAAGCGUGGGGAGCAAACAGG